This is a long non-coding RNA of Argiope bruennichi, 1015 nucleotides long. RefSeq lists it as uncharacterized. Lineage: Eukaryota; Metazoa; Arthropoda; Arachnida; Araneae; Araneidae. The record is from RefSeq and is a predicted model, not a curated record. The transcript has 3 exons.
CAAACGCCUGUCAUACGCGUUUCUGAGUAUAGGAUUCUAAGCAAUUGAACGUCUUAGAAUGGAAUCGCCCAGUGACACUCGUUAUGAGAGGAAUACUCCAUGGCCAGGAACCGUUUGAAACUGUAUUCCAGCAUCUACGCAGGACAAAAAUGCUUCUAGGUAAUUCUGUUGUAUCUGUAUGGCUUGCGGUAAAUUUUCUAGAAUGACCAAAUUUAUUAAGUGGAAUGAAUGCCCUUUCAGUUCCAGCCAUAAAGUAUCUACAUAUAUGUGUAGAAGGUAUCUAGAUGUCCUGGAAAGAACGUCAUUGAAGUAAUAUCGGUAUUCUUCGGUCAGACAACUCAUGGCCGUUGAUGCUACUUUUCCGGUUAAAUAGUAUACCAUCACCAUCAAUACACCCUUCAAGGUCCAAACACGUCUUCAAUAGACAGCAGUUCUGCUUGAUACGGGGAGGAUAUUCCCUUAAGAUGAGUUCGAAGUACAUAGAAUUCAAAGGCAUGAUCUAAUCUAUUCCGAUUCAGAUGUUGACUUGUUUUGAUCGAAGUGAUCCUGCCACAACAUGCAGCAUCUGAAGCUUCCAUGAAGUGCAAACUUUAAUUCGGAGCCACUACAGUUAAAAUGUUGAUUUCCGGACAAAUGUAGUUGGUUUGUAAAAUUAUAAAUGUUACACCAAAUCCAAAAUGUAUAUUUACUAUCAAAAAUCAUCAGUUUGCAUAGUGGUGAAAAUGUGAUUACUAAUGUAAUGGCCAAUUAUUUGAAAAUAUCAAUAUAUCUUUGAAGUAUUUCAUGAUCCCAUUUUAAGGCUGACAAUGAAUAUUCUUACAUUUUUUUUUUAACUUCGGAAGCCUUGAAGUGCAUGUAAUAUUUAUCAUUCCAAACAAAUAUUUGGCAUAUCAGUCGAUAUUUCAUCUAAAAAUUGUUUGAAAUUUUAUAGCUACUUAAAACGACUUUAAAAUAUUGGUUUGCAUUCAUUUUCUUCAAACGUAAUGCUUGCUUUCUACUUUGAGAAACAAGCUAU